RNAcentral lists this ribosomal RNA (500 nucleotides) under uncultured bacterium. RNAcentral's name for it is "bacterial SSU rRNA". It matches the Rfam family "Bacterial small subunit ribosomal RNA", at positions 396 to 911 of the family's 1533-position model. The record is from RNAcentral.
ACCGCGUGUGCGAAGAAGGCCUUCGGGUCGUAAAGCACUUUUUGGAAGGAAUAGGAAGGAAUGUACUUCCAGAAUAAGUCUCGGCUAACUACGUGCCAGCAGCCGCGGUAACACGUAGGAGGCGAACGUUAUCCGGAUUUACUGGGCGUAAAGCGCGUGUAGGUGGUACUGUAAGUAGGGCGUGAAAGCUCCCGGCUCAACUGGGAGAGGCCGUUCUAAACUACAGAACUAGAGGAUGGUAGAGGGAGGUGGAAUUCCAGGUGUAGCGGUGGAAUGCGCAGAUAUCUGGAGGAACACCAGUGGCGAAGGCGGCCUCCUGGACCAUUCCUGACACUCAGACGCGAAAGCUAGGGUAGCAAACGGGAUUAGAGACCCCGGUAGUCCUAGCCCUAAACGAUGUAGACUAGGCGUCGGAAGUUUAAUCACUUUCGGUGUCCAAGCUAACGCGAUAAGUCUACCGCCUGGGGACUACGGCCGCAAGGUUAAAACUCAAAGGAAUU